This 289-nucleotide long non-coding RNA is filed under the name Ananas comosus (pineapple). RNAcentral's name for it is "long non-coding RNA (ACOM_LNC031049)". Lineage: Eukaryota; Viridiplantae; Streptophyta; Magnoliopsida; Poales; Bromeliaceae. The record is from RNAcentral.
AAUAAUGCAAGGAAGAAAAGUCAAUGGCAAAAGAAAACAGGUGAAAACGAGGAAUUCUACACUGUCACACUUGCACCACGUCAUUAAUAACAAGUCAAUCACAUUCCUUCUUUUUAAACAAAAGUACAAUAAAAAUACUUUUUUACAAUCAUGAUGGGACAUAUAUUCUUAACAUGAUUAAUUUGAUUGGUUUGUUACGCCACGUCACUAAUAUACCCGUUGCAUUCUAGAAUUUUUCGGUGAAAACGCAGAAUAGGGUGGUGGGAUGUGAUGGGCUUGCAUUAAAGAC